GGUGUAAUGGGGGAGGAGUACCCAAGAAGGAACUAUUUAUAGGACAAGAUGGGCAAGGGCAAAUCUGACUUAUCUCUCUGCCGCAUCCGAGAAGCCUGAGGGUACUCAGGUGGAUAUGGUAACUGUUCGCACGGUAAUCCAGGGAUUGUGCAGGUGAUUUGACGGGAAGCGGUCAUUAUCUAAAGAUAUUUUACUGUGCGAGAUCUCC
This 208-nucleotide long non-coding RNA is filed under the name Sorghum bicolor (sorghum). Its description in RNAcentral is "long non-coding RNA (SBIC_LNC010362)". Lineage: Eukaryota; Viridiplantae; Streptophyta; Magnoliopsida; Poales; Poaceae. The record is from RNAcentral.